AUGGCCGCUCCUCCCGAUUUGCCUCCUCUUCUUCGUGUGCGGCGGCCGCUGCAGCUCCUCGCGCCGCCCUCCAUCCACCCUGCCUCUCUUGUUUUCCUCCUCUCUCAGAUCAGGCGCCGUUGCUCGCCGUGGUUCCAGAUCGGGGCGGAGUUCGCCGCCAUUGAGGAGCAGGGGAGGGCGAGGCCCGGGGCUCCACCGCAGCGCGCGCUACACUGGUGCCAGGCUGCAUCUUCUCCUACCCACGUAAACAGCGAGCAGAGGCGUAAUCACGCAGGUGCUAGGUUGCAGGCGAUGAUGAGCUCCUGA
Molecule: ribosomal RNA, 306 nt
Filed under: Triticum aestivum (bread wheat)
Lineage: Eukaryota; Viridiplantae; Streptophyta; Magnoliopsida; Poales; Poaceae
Description: partial small subunit ribosomal RNA
Source: RNAcentral